This 1080-nucleotide long non-coding RNA is filed under the name Salvator merianae (Argentine black and white tegu). RNAcentral's name for it is "lncRNA (ENSSMRG00000009644.1)". Lineage: Eukaryota; Metazoa; Chordata; Lepidosauria; Squamata; Teiidae. The record is from RNAcentral.
GUUGUUGGGUGGGUGGGUGGUGUGUUGUGUUUUUUUUUUCUCUUCACUCCCUUUCAAGCUAAGGAGAGUUUUCCGAGUUGUAAACAGAUAAAUCAAAGGCGAACAGAGAGGGAAAACUCAAACAAAUAUUAUUUUCUACCUCUCCCCGCUUUCUGUGGAGCGGUUGAUGCUCUGAAGGGUCAUCCCAAGCGGCUUUUAGCUAAGAGCUGGAGCCACGGAUCUCCCCUCCACCCAGAAAAAAAAUAAAACUUUUGCCAAAUUGUAACUGUUUUUCCAAGCGAUUCGGAGGGGGAACCCCCCCCCCACCAGAGGGCAAACUUUAGAGAGAUUCGUCAUGGUUAAUCAAGGAAUGCUUAAAUUGUUAAGAUAGUUGCCUUGAAUUCUGAACAAAUAAAAUACAGCCUCUUUUCCCCCUUUCUUCCAAACACGUAAUGGAGAAACGUUGAUCGGUUUUGCUCUAGGAUAAAUUCUGCUUCGUAUGGCCAGCCCAUUUUCCUUACAAUUUGCAGGAGCAGUUGGUGGAGAAAGAAAAAAAAGAAGUCUCCUUGGAUCAUAUGGCACAAUUGUCAGUAUGGCUAUAAUUUUGAUAGCUUCAGAAGAAAAAUCAGUAGGGAAUUUUGAUGGAUUUAUCUCAGGGUUGAACCUUGCCUGUAAGCUAGGAAAUCAGUAUCUAAAAGGGAAAAGAGAAAAAAAGAAAAAAGAUCCUGCAUAUUUCUGUAUGGUUUCUUCAUCACCUGCCAGGAUAAUUUAUUUUUAAAUAACUGGUCCAUUUUCAUGUUUGCAAUACUAAUGAAAUGGCACACUUUACACUACUACAAUUCUUGGAAAUGCUACACAUUAUUAUACCUUGGGAGAGGUUAAUGAGAUGUUUUCUAAAUGUAAAUGUCUCUGAAAUUAAUGUUUGAACAGUCUACUUUAGAAGUUUCUGUUAAUUCUGAAGUAAUUCAAUUAAGGGACAAUUUGUUUUUCUGAAACAGCCAGAAAGUCCUGCUAAAGAACAGCAUAUAGCUAUUUUAGUAACAGUCCUUAAUGUGAACAAUAUUUUAUUAGAAAAUAAAAUUAUUUCCAUCCACUGUGUCA